Molecule: ribosomal RNA, 111 nt
Filed under: uncultured bacterium
Lineage: Bacteria
Description: partial 16S ribosomal RNA
Source: RNAcentral
UGGGUAACCUGCCUCAAAGAGGGGAAUAGCCUCCCGAAAGGGAGAUUAAUACCGCAUAAUAUGUUUUAAUCGCAUGAUUUUAACAUCAAAGGAUUUUCUCGGAACUUCCAC